Long non-coding RNA from Bufo bufo (common toad), 236 nucleotides. RefSeq lists it as uncharacterized. Lineage: Eukaryota; Metazoa; Chordata; Amphibia; Anura; Bufonidae. The transcript has 2 exons. The record is from RefSeq and is a predicted model, not a curated record.
GAAAUGUCCAGCUCAAGUUCAGGUUUGCAAUGACCUCCAAGAUGCAGAAGAAGAAGAAGAAGAAGAUGAAGAAGCGGCGGCGGCGGCAGCAGCAGCAAGAAGAAGCAAGAAUCACCAAUGAACGCGUUAAGGCUGCAGAACAUGGCUAAGCAUGUGUGUAUGUCGUAUGAACACACACCCACCCGGGCUGCGCCCCCCUCCCUUUCUGUAUCUUGGAGGAAGUAAGCUUAGGAGAG